Molecule: ribosomal RNA, 651 nt
Filed under: uncultured bacterium
Lineage: Bacteria
Description: bacterial SSU rRNA
Rfam family: Bacterial small subunit ribosomal RNA
Source: RNAcentral
AUCUUCGGAUGUUAGUGGCGAACGGGUGAGUAACACGUAAGUAACCAACCCAUUAGACGAGGAUAACUACUGGAAACAGUAGCUAAUACUGGAUAGGAUACAUUGAAGAAAGUUGAUGUAUUUAAAGAUCCUUCUGGGAUUACUAAUGGAUGGGCUUGCGGCGCAUUAGCUAGUUGGUAGGGUAAAGGCCUACCAAGGCGACGAUGCGUAGCCGACCUGAGAGGGUGACCGGCCACACUGGGACUGAGACACGGCCCAGACUCCUACGGGAGGCAGCAGUAGGGAAUCUUCGGCAAUGGACGAAAGUCUGACCGAGCAAUGCCGCGUGAGUGAAGAAGGUCUUCGGAUUGUAAAGCUCUGUUAUUAGGGAAGAAAGAUAAUAGUAGGAAAUGACUAUUAAGUGACGGUACCUAAUGAGAAAGCCACGGCUAACUACGUGCCAGCAGCCGCGGUAAUACGUAGGUGGCAAGCGUUGUCCGGAAUUAUUGGGCGUAAAGAGUGCGUAGGCGGUCUAUUAAGUCUGGUUUGAAAGCCCAUGGCUUAACCAUGGAGGGUGACUGGAAACUGGUAGACUUGAGUAUAGGAGAGGAAAGUGGAAUUCCACGUGUAGCGGUGAAAUGCGUAGAUAUGUGGAGGAACACCGGUGGCGAA